UCGCUUUGCGAGAUGAUGGCGAGUGGCGUACGGGUGAGUAACGCGUAUGCAACCUGCCCACUACUGGGGGAUAGCCCGUGGAAACAUGGAUUAAUACCCCAUAACACAGGGGGCCCGCAUGGGUCUAUUGUUAAAGAUUUAUCGGUAGUGGAUGGGCAUGCGUCUGAUUAGCUUGUUGGUGAGGUAACGGCUCACCAAGGCGAUGAUCAGUAGGGGGCCUGAGAGGGUGAUCCCCCACACUGGCACUGAGAUACGGGCCAGACUCCUACGGGAGGCAGCAGUAAGGAAUAUUGGACAAUGGGCGAAAGCCUGAUCCAGCCAUGCCGCGUGAACGAAGACGGCCUUCUGGGUUGUAAAGUUCUUUUCUACGGGAACAAACCCCCUAUGCGUAGGGUACUGAGUGUACCGUAGGAAUAAGCACCGGCUAACUACGUGCCAGCAGCCGCGGUAAUACGUAGGGUGCAAGCGUUGUCCGGAUUCA
RNAcentral lists this ribosomal RNA (481 nucleotides) under uncultured bacterium. RNAcentral describes it as "bacterial SSU rRNA". It matches the Rfam family "Bacterial small subunit ribosomal RNA", at positions 73 to 553 of the family's 1533-position model. The record is from RNAcentral.